Camellia sinensis is the source of this 825-nucleotide long non-coding RNA. RefSeq lists it as uncharacterized. NCBI's taxonomy places the organism in Eukaryota, Viridiplantae, Streptophyta, Magnoliopsida, Ericales, Theaceae. The record is from RefSeq and is a predicted model, not a curated record.
CGAACUAUUUGGCUUCUAAUUGUAAAGGAACAUAGAAACUGAGAAGAGGGAGAGAAGAGAGAGGGUUCAAAGAUACUUGGGCAAAACCAAGAAGAGAGGGUUCACCUAGAAGGCUUUGGCUUUGGUUUCUAAUCAAAAUGAACCCAAAAGGUUUCAUCAAAAAGGAGAAGGGUUCGGAGGGAGCUCAAUCUCAUCUCUCUGAAUCGUCUCAUUGAAGAAGGGUUACCUGUUAUGAUCUCAUAGUGCGCAAUAUGUGGAGUGGAGCAUACCAGUGUUGGGGAAAAGAGAACAGAGAAGGACCAUUGAGGAAAACUUAUUCUAAUUUGUAUUACAGUGAUAUUUAGGUUCUAAAAUGGUUAUGCACCUCCUUUAGGUGCUAGCAGAAGAAGGCAAAGCUAAGGUUGUUGCCUUUGAUGAAAUUGACAAAGCCCUUGAAGAGAAAAAUAGAGGGAUUACAAUUGCAACGAUGGGUUAUAGUUUUUUUCCCCCUUGUUUUUUCACACCAUUAUGCUAGGCUGUAUGAUUUUGUGUAGCAUCCAUAUUUCUCCUUGAAACCAAGUAAGAUUUUUGAAGCAUCUAUCUAUAUUGAACACAAGGAAUGACUUGAUGUUGUAGGCCCAUGUGGAGUAUGAGACUACUGAGCAGCAUUAUGCACAUGUAGAUUGCCCAGGACAUACAGAUUAUGUUAAAGUAAGCCUUAAUUGACAUGGAUUUGCACCAAAAGAACAACUGUAUUUGCUUUAUCAUUAUUAGAUAUCAUCAUAAUUACUAAUGUAAUUGUAACUGUAGCUAUUAUUGUUAUUAUUAUUGCUUCUUUUGUUGUUA